Molecule: transfer RNA, 75 nt
Filed under: Marmota monax (woodchuck)
Lineage: Eukaryota; Metazoa; Chordata; Mammalia; Rodentia; Sciuridae
Rfam family: tRNA
About the family: Transfer RNA (tRNA) molecules are approximately 80 nucleotides in length. Their secondary structure includes four short double-helical elements and three loops (D, anti-codon, and T loops).
Source: RNAcentral
GGGGGUGUAGCUCAGUGGUAAAGCGCAUGCUUAGCAUGCACGAGGUCCUGGGUUCAAUCCCCAGCACCUCCACUG